RNAcentral lists this ribosomal RNA (253 nucleotides) under uncultured bacterium. RNAcentral describes it as "partial 16S ribosomal RNA". It matches the Rfam family "Bacterial small subunit ribosomal RNA", at positions 524 to 776 of the family's 1533-position model. The record is from RNAcentral.
UACGGAGGAUGCAAGCGUUAUCCGGAUUCAUUGGGUUUAAAGGGUGCGCAGGUGGGCUUGUAAGUCGGUGGUGAAAUGCUGCCGCUUAACGGUAGAAUUGCCAUUGAUACUGUGAGUCUUGAGUAUGGUUGAGGUAGGCGGAAUGUGCAGUGUAGCGGUGAAAUGCAUAGAUAUUGCACAGAACUCCGAUUGCGAAGGCAGCUUACUAAGCCAUUACUGACGCUGAGGCACGAAAGCGUGGGGAGCGAACAGG